RNAcentral lists this ribosomal RNA (1469 nucleotides) under Vibrio natriegens. RNAcentral describes it as "bacterial SSU rRNA". It matches the Rfam family "Bacterial small subunit ribosomal RNA". Lineage: Bacteria; Pseudomonadati; Pseudomonadota; Gammaproteobacteria; Vibrionales; Vibrionaceae. The record is from RNAcentral.
GGCCUAACACAUGCAAGUCGAGCGGAAACGAGUUAACUGAACCUUCGGGGGACGUUAACGGCGUCGAGCGGCGGACGGGUGAGUAAUGCCUAGGAAAUUGCCCUGAUGUGGGGGAUAACCAUUGGAAACGAUGGCUAAUACCGCAUGAUGCCUACGGGCCAAAGAGGGGGACCUUCGGGCCUCUCGCGUCAGGAUAUGCCUAGGUGGGAUUAGCUAGUUGGUGAGGUAAGGGCUCACCAAGGCGACGAUCCCUAGCUGGUCUGAGAGGAUGAUCAGCCACACUGGAACUGAGACACGGUCCAGACUCCUACGGGAGGCAGCAGUGGGGAAUAUUGCACAAUGGGCGCAAGCCUGAUGCAGCCAUGCCGCGUGUGUGAAGAAGGCCUUCGGGUUGUAAAGCACUUUCAGUCGUGAGGAAGGUAGUGUAGUUAAUAGCUGCAUUAUUUGACGUUAGCGACAGAAGAAGCACCGGCUAACUCCGUGCCAGCAGCCGCGGUAAUACGGAGGGUGCGAGCGUUAAUCGGAAUUACUGGGCGUAAAGCGCAUGCAGGUGGUUUGUUAAGUCAGAUGUGAAAGCCCGGGGCUCAACCUCGGAAUAGCAUUUGAAACUGGCAGACUAGAGUACUGUAGAGGGGGGUAGAAUUUCAGGUGUAGCGGUGAAAUGCGUAGAGAUCUGAAGGAAUACCGGUGGCGAAGGCGGCCCCCUGGACAGAUACUGACACUCAGAUGCGAAAGCGUGGGGAGCAAACAGGAUUAGAUACCCUGGUAGUCCACGCCGUAAACGAUGUCUACUUGGAGGUUGUGGCCUUGAGCCGUGGCUUUCGGAGCUAACGCGUUAAGUAGACCGCCUGGGGAGUACGGUCGCAAGAUUAAAACUCAAAUGAAUUGACGGGGGCCCGCACAAGCGGUGGAGCAUGUGGUUUAAUUCGAUGCAACGCGAAGAACCUUACCUACUCUUGACAUCCAGAGAACUUUCCAGAGAUGGAUUGGUGCCUUCGGGAACUCUGAGACAGGUGCUGCAUGGCUGUCGUCAGCUCGUGUUGUGAAAUGUUGGGUUAAGUCCCGCAACGAGCGCAACCCUUAUCCUUGUUUGCCAGCGAGUAAUGUCGGGAACUCCAGGGAGACUGCCGGUGAUAAACCGGAGGAAGGUGGGGACGACGUCAAGUCAUCAUGGCCCUUACGAGUAGGGCUACACACGUGCUACAAUGGCGCAUACAGAGGGCGGCCAACUUGCGAAAGUGAGCGAAUCCCAAAAAGUGCGUCGUAGUCCGGAUUGGAGUCUGCAACUCGACUCCAUGAAGUCGGAAUCGCUAGUAAUCGUGGAUCAGAAUGCCACGGUGAAUACGUUCCCGGGCCUUGUACACACCGCCCGUCACACCAUGGGAGUGGGCUGCAAAAGAAGUAGGUAGUUUAACCUUCGGGGGGACGCUUACCACUUUGUGGUUCAUGACUGGGGUGAAGUCGUAACA